CCGACCCUCUCUUAGCUCUGCUCCAUCAUCUCUCUCUCGAUCACUACUGUUUGAUAACGACGGUGCGACUUUGGCGGAGGCCGUCGCCGUGGCCGUUAUCAGCGAGCAGCCUCCUCUCGUUUGUCGUUUGUGGAGGUAUAUAUCUCUUUCUCCUUGUUCUCUCGAUUUCUUGAUGGAAUAUUUUGUUCAAUAGUUCGAUGUGUUGGAUUUUUUUGAUUUGUUAAAUUUGUUUAAUUUGUCCGAGUUUUCCCUAACCUCUGAAUUUUGCCCUAAUCUCUGAAUUUUGCUCUAAUUUGUGAAUUUUGAUAUGGAACAUAAUUUUCCGGCCGCCGAUCCUUAUUCGGAAUUUCUAAGAAAUGUGCAUAACAUUGUCAGGGAGUCGGUGGCGAGUAAUAAGAGUCUUUUUCUUGACAUUUUUGCUGUAAACGAUGUCAGGGAAGAAGUUGAGAGGUUCAAGAGAACCCCUUUUGCACAGAAGGCGGAGAGGGACCAAAAUGUAAAAAUCCUUAUGUCUUUCCGCUGAUUGUUCUUUUCUUCUUAUAUAUCUAAUUUUUGUUUAAUUAAAGGUGUCUUGGAGGAAUGGUUGGCCAAUUUCCACCACAUGGUUUAAUAUGGUUUUCUUAUUGGUUUAGUCACACACACACAUAUGCACAUAUAUUGUCUAGGUCCUGUUCUUUGAUUUGGUAUGUCCACUUGUCACUAGGUUUCCGGUUUUUCUUUGUCCCUUUGCAGCAUUGUUGUGUGCGUGCACAUGUUUCUAAAAUUUGCUCAUCAUUUUUAUUUCAAGGUUUUGUCGAGUUCAUGUAUCUAGUCUACUGCUUGCUUGGUCUCUGUACGUGUGAGUUAAUUUGAGGAGGAAGGGGAGGGGCGGGGGUGUUUCUAAAUAGAGCCGGGAGGCUUGAAGUUCAUUUUUGUUUUGUGGCAUUUAAUUGUUAAUUUGUUAGCGAUAGGGUGCCUGCAGUCUCCAUCUUUUAAGCAACGUACGUGGGCCGAUAGGUCCAAUUUCUUCCAGAUACAAAGUUUUCUUCUGCAGAUCUGUUUUAGGUCCAAGUGGAGGAAACAGGGUUCCUGUGCUAAAAUCUGAUGGUCUGGUUUUAACAAGGUACGUAUACGUGUUCCCAUUUGAAUCAGUUCCCUUUUUGUUUUUAUUAGAAAACUGCACCGCACAAGCAUAUAAGGUGAUAUAUAUGUUCUCAGUUCCGUUUUUGCUGUAAAUGUACAAAGAUCAGCCAAAAACAUUCUUAUCUUGUACUGAUAUCAGUCCCAUUUUGCCCAAACCACUUAUCGGCCAGGUAAUCAGUGUUCCCUCUCUAUUUAAUAUUCAUUCUUACAAGUUUAUUUUAAUUUUAUGUGUACUUUGCGUUGUGAAUGGUAAUAUUGUAUACAUCAAUCACAAGAAGGUUGACUUCAUUUUUACUUUUUCGUAAUUGGUUUCAUUGUGAAGUUUUAAAUUUCCUUUGACAUCCAAUCUCCCCUCAACAGUUUUGGGUUUGUCUGUUAAGUUAAGCUCAAGGGAAGGACAUCCGGCGAAAAAGGUGAGACCAUCAAUGCAAGGAGUGUACUAUGUAGGGGAUCAGGACGAUGGGUUCACACGGUUUGAGUUCUCAACUACAGCCAGCGGGGGUUCCGGCACACCAUCCACAGAGACCAGUCCCCAAUCCGCUCUUAGACCACCACCUACCACGAGUAAUCAGUCCCCAUCUUCCCAAGUGAGUGUUUUGAUUCAGUUUCCAAUAUGUGGUUUCUGCACAUGAGCGAAUAAAUAUGUAACGUAAACGUGCUCUACCAUAACUGAUAAGGUGAUAUGUGUUGCCUGCUAAGGCUGUUCUGAUUGGUUUUAUUAAUAUUGAUGAAGUUAGUGUUUUAA
This is an RNA transcript of Pyrus x bretschneideri (Chinese white pear), 1867 nucleotides long. RefSeq lists it as uncharacterized. The record is from RefSeq and is a predicted model, not a curated record. The transcript is spliced from 2 exons. NCBI's taxonomy places the organism in Eukaryota, Viridiplantae, Streptophyta, Magnoliopsida, Rosales, Rosaceae.